GUUUAAAUUAAUGAUUUUAAUUUGCAAAGCAAAAUUGGCACUUAAAAAUAUAUUUCGUAUUUGGACGCUGGAUGCUAUAAAAGUAUAAAUGUUUGGGUGCCUAAAAACCUUGAAGUUGCUAUAUAAAUCAAAACUUUUUUUUAUUGAGUGGUGGCUCGUGUAACAUCAAGCUCGAGCCUGAGCUCACUUUGGCUUGGCUCGACUCAUUUACAGCCCUACUGCAGAUAACUGUUUUGGAUAAUAACUGAUUUAGUUAUGCCAUAUUAACUCAUUCUAUGUUGUCAAGACGCAAUGCGCAGGCAAGGUGCAUAGGCCUCGGCCGGAGCCUAGGCGCAAGGAGCAAAAAAGACGAGGGCUUUUUCAAGAAAGGCGGAGGAAAAAAAAUUAAAAAAUAUAUUAUGCUUUGAAAAUAGAUACAAAAGCACAAAAAUUGUGCCACAAAAGUCUUUUUAUAUUGUGGCAAAAAGAAGUGCCACUAAAAGUCCAAAAACUUUGUGCGGCAUAUUGAAAAAGUGCCACUAAAAGGCUUUAGCGUUAGCGCUUCUAGUGACACUUGUUUUGUGUGCCGCCCAUUCCUACAAGGGCCUUUAGUGACACUUUUUUGUGUUUUUGUGUCACUUUUUGUAUGUCAAUAGAUGGCAUUUAUUUGUAGUGGGUGUUCCAUGUUUUCAGCUCAUCCAUUGUGGAUGCAUUGUCUCACUUAUGACUGACUAUUCGCUGGGUGAUUUUGGUGGGAUUACCUGUGUAAACUGUUCAAGAACUUAAUCUUCUUCUAGCACAUCUUCACUUUAAUGCUGAAACAAGGCCUCAAGAUUCGAUAUCACUGUGAUGUGGCAGAUCAGAGACUUGCUCAACAUAUUGACAAAGGAAACGAAGAAGGGUUGCUUAUCAGCAGUGUGGCUUCUUGCUCAAACCUAUGGGCUCUUAUAAUGGAUUCUGGCACUGUAUCACCUCUCAAGUUUACCAACUCUCUCAUUUCUCAACAAGGUUUUUCAUGCUUUAGGGUCUGGUUUGUUGAAUGAUUUAUUCUAGAUAGGGGGUGUGAAUUUCUGACACCACCCUAAUACACGACACGAACCUAACACGAAAUUCGCGGGUUUGGGUUUAGUCUAAACGGGUUCGGGUCAGUUUCAAGUUGAACCCGCCCACCCAUUUAGCUAAACGGGUCAGGUUCGGGUCAACCCGGUCGGGUUGGUGGGUUGACUCGUUUAACCCAUUUCUAUAAUAUUAUAUUUUUUACAAUAUGUUUUAUGUUAUAAAUUAAAUUUGGUGUGUAUUUUAUGCUAUACUUAUAACUUAAAAAUAGAAAUUGA
Long non-coding RNA from Helianthus annuus (common sunflower), 1313 nucleotides. RefSeq lists it as uncharacterized. The record is from RefSeq and is a predicted model, not a curated record. NCBI's taxonomy places the organism in Eukaryota, Viridiplantae, Streptophyta, Magnoliopsida, Asterales, Asteraceae. The transcript has 3 exons.